This 253-nucleotide ribosomal RNA is filed under the name uncultured bacterium. RNAcentral's name for it is "partial 16S ribosomal RNA". It matches the Rfam family "Bacterial small subunit ribosomal RNA", at positions 524 to 776 of the family's 1533-position model. The record is from RNAcentral.
UACGGAGGGUGCAAGCGUUGUCCGGAUUUAUUGGGUUUAAAGGGUGCGUAGGCGGUUCUUUAAGUCCGGGGUGAAAGCCCACUGCUCAACAGUGGAACUGCCCUGGAAACUGGCGAACUUGAGUACAGACGAGGGUGGCGGAAUGGAUACUGUAGCGGUGAAAUGCAUAGAUAGUAUCCAGAACACCGAUUGCGAAGGCAGCUGCCUAGACUGUAACUGACGCUGAGGCACGAAAGCGUGGGGAGCGAACAGG